CCCUUAGAUGUUCUGGGCUGCACGCGCGCUACACUGAUGCGAUCAACAAGUUUUUCCUAUGUCGAUAGACACGGGUAAUCUUUUGAACUCGCAUCGUGAUGGGGAUAGAUUAUUGUAAUUAUUAAUCUUCAACGAGGAAUUCCUAGUAGGUGCAAAUCGUCAGUUUGCAUCGAUUACGUCCCUGCCCUUUGUACACACCGCCCGUCGCUGCUACCGAUUGGUUGAUCUGGUGAAUUAUUCGGACUGCCGGCUGAAGGGGUUUCCUCAUCUGCCAGCGGAAAGUCUUGUUAACCCUAUCAACUAGAGGAAGCAGAAGUCGUAACA
This 324-nucleotide ribosomal RNA is filed under the name uncultured eukaryote. RNAcentral describes it as "partial 18S ribosomal RNA". It matches the Rfam family "Eukaryotic small subunit ribosomal RNA", at positions 1470 to 1796 of the family's 1831-position model. The record is from RNAcentral.